UUUUUUUCUAUGAUAGAUUUAUUAAAUGGCCGCGAUAAUUUGAUCGUGCAAAGGUAGCAUAAUAAUUAGUUUUUUAAUUAAGAACUGGUAUGAAAGGUUGGACGAGAAAAGGACUGUCUCAAUUUAAUUUUAGAUUAGAAUUUUAUUUUUAAGUAAAAAAGCUUAAAUUAAUUUAAAAGACGAGAAGACCCUAUAGAGUUUUAUAUUUAUUAAUAUUAUUUAUAAUUUAAAGAAUUAAAAUUAGAAAUUGAUUAGUAAAUAUUUGGUUGGGGUGAUUGAAAAAUAAAAUUAACUUUUUUUUAUUAUUUAACAUUAAUUAAUGAUUAAUUGAUCCAUAAAUUUAUGAUUAAAAGAUUAAAUUACCUUAGGGAUAACAGCGUAAUUUUUUUUAAGAGUUCUUAUCGAAAAAAAAGUUUGCGACCUCGA
Molecule: ribosomal RNA, 426 nt
Filed under: Onthophagus negligens
Lineage: Eukaryota; Metazoa; Arthropoda; Insecta; Coleoptera; Scarabaeidae
Description: partial large subunit ribosomal RNA
Source: RNAcentral